Etheostoma cragini (Arkansas darter) is the source of this 464-nucleotide long non-coding RNA. RefSeq lists it as uncharacterized. The transcript has 3 exons. The record is from RefSeq and is a predicted model, not a curated record. Lineage: Eukaryota; Metazoa; Chordata; Actinopteri; Perciformes; Percidae.
CUGUCUCUCUUUCUGUCUCUCUUUGUCUGUCUGUCUCUCUCUGUCUCUGUCUCUCUGUCUGUCCCCAGAUGCCACCAGUGCUCCCCCUGUCUGUUUCUCAUCCGUGAACAAACAGGGAAACAAAUAUGGGAACUGUGGUCAGCUGACCAACGGCUCGUACGUCCCGUGUGGGACCGCGGACGUCCACUGCGGCAGGAUCCAGUGUCAGGGCGGGAGGGAGCGCCCCCUGCUGGGCACCAACGCCGAGAUCCUCACCACCACGGUCCGCUUCAACCACAGCGACCUGGUCUGCAGGGGCACCUUCUUCCACCUGGGAGACGACGUGUCGGACCCCGCCACCGUGGCCCAGGGCACCGCCUGCAGCCCCGGCAAGGCGUGUUUGAACCAGAAGUGUCAGGACGUGUCGGUGUUCGGGUUGAACGAGUGUCUCAGGAAGUGCAACGGACACGGGGUGAGUGGAGGAC